RNAcentral lists this ribosomal RNA (110 nucleotides) under Prolemur simus (greater bamboo lemur). The record is from RNAcentral. Lineage: Eukaryota; Metazoa; Chordata; Mammalia; Primates; Lemuridae.
GUCUAUGGCCAUAUCACCCUGAAUGUGCCAGAUCUCAUCUGAUCUUGGAAGCUAAGCAGGCUCAGGCCUGGUUAGUACUUGGAUGGGAGAUUUCAGGUUCUCUCUUGAUA